GUGGGGAAUCUUGCGCAAUGGGCGAAAGCCUGACGCAGCCAUGCCGCGUGAAUGAUGAAGGUCUUAGGAUUGUAAAAUUCUUUCACCGGGGACGAUAAUGACGGUACCCGGAGAAGAAGCUCCGGCUAACUUCGUGUCAGCAGCCGCGGUAAUACGAAGGGGGCUAGCGUUGCUCGGAAUUACUGGGCGUAAAGGGCGCGUAGGCGGACAGCUUAGUCAGAGGUGAAAGCCCAGGGCUCAACCUUGGAAUUGCCUUUGAUACUGGCUGUCUUGAGUUUGGGAGAGGUGAGUGGAACUCCGAGUGUAGAGGUGAAAUUCGUAGAUAUUCGGAAGAACACCAGUGGCGAAGGCGACUCACUGGCCCAAUACUGACGCUGAGGCGCGAAAGCGUGGGGAGCAAACAGGAUUAGAUACCCUGGUAGUCC
This 425-nucleotide ribosomal RNA is filed under the name uncultured bacterium. Its description in RNAcentral is "partial 16S ribosomal RNA". It matches the Rfam family "Bacterial small subunit ribosomal RNA", at positions 354 to 796 of the family's 1533-position model. The record is from RNAcentral.